GUGCCAGCAGCCGCGGUAAUACCGGCAGCCCGAGUGAUGGCCGAUCUUAUUGGGCCUAAAGCGUCCGUAGCUGGCCGGACAAGUCCGUUGGGAAAUCCACCCGCUUAACGGGUGGGCGUCCAGCGGAAACUGUUCGGCUUGGAGCCGGAAGACCCGAGGGGUACGUCCGGGGUAGGAGUGAAAUCCCGUAAUCCUGGACGGACCGCCGGUGGCGAAAGCGCCUCGGGAGGACGGACUCGACAGUGAGGGACGAAAGCUAGGGUCUCGAACCGGAUUAGAAACCCGUGUAGUCC
RNAcentral lists this ribosomal RNA (293 nucleotides) under uncultured bacterium. Its description in RNAcentral is "partial 16S ribosomal RNA". It matches the Rfam family "Archaeal small subunit ribosomal RNA", at positions 455 to 747 of the family's 1478-position model. The record is from RNAcentral.